This 233-nucleotide ribosomal RNA is filed under the name uncultured bacterium. RNAcentral's name for it is "partial 16S ribosomal RNA". It matches the Rfam family "Bacterial small subunit ribosomal RNA", at positions 794 to 1022 of the family's 1533-position model. The record is from RNAcentral.
UCCAUGCCGUAAACGAUGAACACUAGGUGUAGCGGAUCAAUUCAUGUCUGCUGUGCCGUAGCUAACGCAUUAAGUGUUCCGCCUGGGGAGUACGGCCGCAAGGCUAAAACUCAAAGGAAUUGACGGGGCCCCGCACAAGCGGCGGAGCAUGCGGCUUAAUUCGAUGCAACCCGAAGAACCUUACCUGGGUUUGACAUCAUGGGUCCAGCUGUGGAAAACACAGUGUGCUAACG